Long non-coding RNA from Momordica charantia (bitter melon), 953 nucleotides. RefSeq lists it as uncharacterized. NCBI's taxonomy places the organism in Eukaryota, Viridiplantae, Streptophyta, Magnoliopsida, Cucurbitales, Cucurbitaceae. The record is from RefSeq and is a predicted model, not a curated record.
ACAAAAUUAAAUCAAAACCCUAGCCUCUCCAAUAUUCAUCUUCUUCCUCCUCACUUGGUAGCCGCCUACCUCCUCCUUCUUUUGUCUCCGGCGACUCGCCACCAAUCGGCACGGUUAAAUCCCAUCCCACGCCCAAAUUUCUUUUUUCUUUCUUCUUCUUCUUCCUUCACUUCUUCUCCCCCCUCUUUCUUCUUCUUCUUCAGCCACUUCUUCUUUCUUCUUCUUCUCCYAUUGUUUCUUCUUCUUCUUUCUUCGUCUAUUCUACUGCUUCUCACGCUAUUGAUGGCACUAUCAGUGGCUUGUAAUGAGAUAUAGUAUUUUUAACUUGGAAGUUAUUCAAACGGCUGUAAAGUUGGCCAAACAAGAGAAAAAUUUUGUGAUGGUUCGGGAUCUUAGAUUACAUCUUCUCCAGCUACUGAAGUCUGGGGAUAUAGACAUUUGCUUUGCCAAUGAGAACGAAGCAAAAGAGUUGAUAGGGUGAUCACUUUUUGAAGAUGAGGAUGAGGUUACUAAAUAAAAAAAUUAAAGAUUUCUUGGAUGAAAAGGACUACUUUGUCAAACACACUACUUUGAAGUAUCUAUUUUGUCAUACGAGAAAUUUUUGGUUGGCUUYGUAGCUCAACACAUAUGUGGAACGAGAAGUUGUAAGGGUUUGAAAUGUUUGUCGAACUGCGUACAGGUGAGCUGAAGCAUGUUGUGGCCGUUUCCAUCAAAGUUUCAUCAUAACAAAUGUCUUUCACAACCCCAAAGAUGUCGACAAUUAGGAAUGCAACUAAUUGAUGGAUGAACUUCGUUGUCAGGGUUGGUGUGUAGGGAACAUGUUUAAUUUUGUAAUUUUGUAAUUUGUGUUUGAGAAUACUAGUAUAUUCUAAAUUAAUAUAUUAGCUUCCUUGUUAAUGUUUAAUAUAGUUCAACUUUGUUAUCUAAAUUAAUAUAUUUGCUUGUUCGAUCGA